RNAcentral lists this ribosomal RNA (253 nucleotides) under uncultured bacterium. RNAcentral describes it as "partial 16S ribosomal RNA". It matches the Rfam family "Bacterial small subunit ribosomal RNA", at positions 524 to 776 of the family's 1533-position model. The record is from RNAcentral.
UACGUAGGGUGCAAGCGUUGUCCGGAAUUAUUGGGCGUAAAGAGCUCGUAGGUGGCCUGUCGCGUCGGCUGUGAAAACUCGGGGCUCAACUCCGAGCUUGCAGUCGAUACGGGCAGGCUAGAGUUCGGCAGGGGAGACUGGAAUUCCUGGUGUAGCAGUGAAAUGCGUAGAUAUCAGGAGGAACACCGAUGGCGAAGGCAGGUCUCUGGGCUGACACUGACGCUCAUGCACGAAAGCGUGGGGAGCAAACAGG